AUACGGAGGGUGCAAGCGUUACUCGGAAUCACUGGGCGUAAAGCGCGCGCAGGCGGUCUUUUAAGUUGGAUGUGAAAGCCUACGGCUCAACCGUAGAACUGCAUCCAAAACUAUUAGACUAGAGUGUGGGAGAGGAAGAUGGAAUUAGUUGUGUAGGGGUAAAAUCCGUAGGGAUAACUAGGAAUACCAAAAGCGAAGGCAAUCUUCUGGAACACUACUGACGCUGAGGCGCGAAAGCGUGGGGAGCAAACAGGAUUAGAUACCCUAGUAGUCC
RNAcentral lists this ribosomal RNA (274 nucleotides) under uncultured bacterium. RNAcentral describes it as "partial 16S ribosomal RNA". It matches the Rfam family "Bacterial small subunit ribosomal RNA", at positions 523 to 796 of the family's 1533-position model. The record is from RNAcentral.